GAAAUAUAUCUGUAUCUUUCAGCUUGCAUACCGGAAAAAAAAAGAGAACAAUAUUUUUGAAAGCUCUGAUCCUGUUUAUGCAUCUACAUAUACUGCCAGAGGAGAUAACACUCUUCUGAUAAGAGGCCUGCACUUUGUAUCUCUAUAUUUGAUUAUGUUCUCCAGAGGUAAGUGUUUCUUCUUCACCUAACACAUGCUGCUUACUUGUGGAUGAGCGGAGGACAGCAGUGUAGCAAGGAAGAAAUACACAGAAAACAGGCCCCAGAGAGCUGCAGCCAGCCUUCCAAGGAGGGCUCUGAACAUUUGCUUUACUGAACGCAGCUGAAACCUUUUAUUUGAAGUCAGUUCAAGCGACGAACAUACCUCUGCCAAUGCUGCGGAUCACUGGCCAGCCACUUGCUCUGAGAUGAAGCUACAGUGUACUAGGUAGGGGAAAUACAGAGUCAGAUAAAAGAGCUUAGCCUAUGAUGGAACAUGGAAAUAAAUCGUUUGAAUUCAGACAUAACAGAAUUUUAGGUGUUCAGGUAGAACAUAUUUCUGAAUAAUGAAUUAUACUCUAUUGCCUUUCUAUCUGGGAGACAGGGUCCACUGGCAUGACAGAUGCAAAGGAAGAAGAUAUUCUCACCCAGAAAGGAGCAGAUCUCAGUGUCUAACAGUGCCGUCUCCCCAAGGAAAAGCUUGUUGCAGAAGUUCAGCAUGUAUUUUGUUCCAAAUGGCAUCCACAGCAAACUUUAAGGCUCCAACUACACUGGGACCUUGUCAUCACUCGCUGACAUUACAGCUCCUCACUGAUGAGCACUGGCAUUGCUGGGGAGCAGACAGAAAGCUAUUGGAGGAAGGAGGAUAUUUACACAAUGGGAACCCAUCCCUCCUGUUAUCAUAAGCUGUCAUGGGCCAGUAGGCGAUGUGCACUGGCUACACCACGUACCUCUUGUUCCUUUUUCUUUCUCCUGGCAAUGGACAUUCUGCUGGCCCCUUUCCCAGUCCAAGCUAGUCAACUUGAGACAGCUCCAAGCCACAAAAUUGGUUCCAGUUUGUGAAUCUCCCAGAGCUCGGGAUAGAGUUUUAUUCUCACAUCUAGCUAGAAGGCUGCUUCACAUAACAGAAUCACUUCUUUCAAAAAUCUGAAGUGUAGCUUAUGUUGUUAACAGGUCCACGUAUGAAAUUAUUUCAAUGAUUUUUCUUUGUAUUUUCAAUCUAGUCUGGCCUUCCCAAAGGGAACUGAAAUAUAACUCCAUGGAUAUUUGCCUACCCUGACUUUCAGCUGGGCUUAGUGCUUAAUUUCCUCAGGAGCCUUUCCUCAGGAAACUCCCAGCUGUGUGAUUUCUGAAGGCUCCCUUCAAAGGCAGCUCAUCUCGUCUCUCUGCCCUGCCUCUCUAGGAAAUCUCCCUUCGGCUGUCCGCAGUGACAAGCUCCACUUGUGCACCCGGUUGCUUUAAAAUAAAAAUAAAAAAAAAAUUACGUGCUGCUUCA
RNAcentral lists this long non-coding RNA (1473 nucleotides) under Struthio camelus australis. RNAcentral describes it as "lncRNA (ENSSCUG00000017658.1)". The record is from RNAcentral. Lineage: Eukaryota; Metazoa; Chordata; Aves; Struthioniformes; Struthionidae.